CAGCAGCCACGGUAAUACGUAGGUGGCAAGCGUUGUCCGGAAUUAUUGGGCGUAAAGGGCUCGCAGGCGGUUUCUUAAGUCUGAUGUGAAAGCCCCCGGCUCAACCGGGGAGGGUCAUUGGAAACUGGGAAACUUGAGUGCAGAAGAGGAGAGUGGAAUUCCACGUGUAGCGGUGAAAUGCGUAGAGAUGUGGAGGAACGCCAGUGGCGAAGGCGACUCUCUGGUCUGUAACUGACGCUGAGGAGCGAAAGCGUGGGGAGCGAACAGGAUUAGAUACCCCCGUAGUCCCUGUCUCUUAUAC
Molecule: ribosomal RNA, 301 nt
Filed under: uncultured bacterium
Lineage: Bacteria
Description: partial 16S ribosomal RNA
Rfam family: Bacterial small subunit ribosomal RNA
Source: RNAcentral